RNAcentral lists this ribosomal RNA (497 nucleotides) under uncultured bacterium. RNAcentral's name for it is "partial 16S ribosomal RNA". It matches the Rfam family "Bacterial small subunit ribosomal RNA", at positions 28 to 507 of the family's 1533-position model. The record is from RNAcentral.
GAUGAACGCUGGCGGCGUGCCUAAUACAUGCAAGUCGAGCGAACAGACGAGGAGCUUGCUCCUCUGACGUUAGCGGCGGACGGGUGAGUAACACGUGGAUAACCCACCUAUAAGACUGGGAUAACUUCGGGAAACCGGAGCUAAUACCGGAUAACAUGUUGAACCGCAUGGUUCAACAGUGAAAGACGGUUUUGCUGUCACUUAUAGAUGGAUCCGCGUCGCAUUAGCUAGUUGGUAAGGUAACGGCUUACCAAGGCAACGAUGCGUAGCCGACCUGAGAGGGUGGUCGGCGACACGAGAACUGAGACACGGUCAAGACUCCUACGGGAGGCAGCAGUAGGGAAUCUGACGCAAUGGGCGAAAACCUGACGGAGCAACGGCGCGGGAGUGAAGAAGGUCUUCGGAUCGUAAAACUCUGUUAUUGGGGAAGAACAAAUGUGUAAGUAACUAUGCACGUCUUGACGGUACCUAAUCAGAAAGCCACGGCUAACUACGUG